GUUGUCCGGAUUAUUGGGCGUAAAGGGCUUGUAGGCGGUUGGUCGCGUCUGCCGUGAAAUCCUCUGGCUUAACUGGGGGCGUGCGGUGGGUACGGGCUGACUUGAGUGCGGUAGGGGAGACUGGAACUCCUGGUGUAGCGGUGGAAUGCGCAGAUAUCAGGAAGAACACCGGUGGCGAAGGCGGGUCUCUGGGCCGUUACUGACGCUGAGGAGCGAAAGCGUGGGGAGCGAACAGGAUUAGAUACCCUGGUAGUCCACGCUGUAAACGUUGGGCACUAGGUGUGGGGGCCACCCGUGGUUUCUGCACCGUAGCUAACGCUUUAAGUGCCCCGCCUGGGGAGUACGGCCGCAAGGCUAAAACUCAAAGGAAUUGACGGGGGCCCGCACAAGCGGCGGAGCAUGCGGAUUAAUUCGAAGCAACGCGAAGAACCUUACCAGGUCUUGACAUCCCGAUGCUAUUUCUAGAGAUAGAAAGUUACUUCGGUACAUCGGUGACAGGUGGUGCAUGGUUGUCGUCAGCUCGUGUCGUGA
This 531-nucleotide ribosomal RNA is filed under the name uncultured bacterium. RNAcentral describes it as "bacterial SSU rRNA". It matches the Rfam family "Bacterial small subunit ribosomal RNA", at positions 540 to 1070 of the family's 1533-position model. The record is from RNAcentral.